This 568-nucleotide ribosomal RNA is filed under the name Fusarium sp. LD-7. RNAcentral describes it as "eukaryotic LSU rRNA". The stretch from base 182 to 335 matches the Rfam family "5.8S ribosomal RNA". The record is from RNAcentral. Lineage: Eukaryota; Fungi; Ascomycota; Sordariomycetes; Hypocreales; Nectriaceae.
UCCGUAGGUGAACCUGCGGAGGGGUCAUUACCGAGUUAUACAACUCAUCAACCCUGUGAACAUACCUAUAACGUUGCCUCGGCGGGAACAGACGGCCCCGUAACACGGGCCGCCCCCGCCAGAGGACCCCCUAACUCUGUUUCUAUAAUGUUUCUUCUGAGUAAACAAGCAAAUAAAUUAAAACUUUCAACAACGGAUCUCUUGGCUCUGGCAUCGAUGAAGAACGCAGCGAAAUGCGAUAAGUAAUGUGAAUUGCAGAAUUCAGUGAAUCAUCGAAUCUUUGAACGCACAUUGCGCCCGCCAGUAUUCUGGCGGGCAUGCCUGUUCGAGCGUCAUUACAACCCUCAGGCCCCCGGGCCUGGCGUUGGGGAUCGGCGGAAGCCCCCUGCGGGCACAACGCCGUCCCCCAAAUACAGUGGCGGUCCCGCCGCAGCUUCCAUUGCGUAGUAGCUAACACCUCGCAACUGGAGAGCGGCGCGGCCACGCCGUAAAACACCCAACUUCUGAAUGUUGACCUCGAAUCAGGUAGGAAUACCCGCUGAACUUAAGCAUAUCAAUAAGCGGAGGA